CAGCUCAAAGGCAUACUGCACUAGUGUCUCCUGCCUAAAUCAAAGUUUGGCUUCUGAGACUGAUAACAUUUCCUACUUCCAGACACUGUCAAGAGUUUCCUUUAUAUAUCUAAAUGUCGUCAUUUAAAAUGAGCUAUGGUUUCCUACUCAAACUCCCACAGAGGCUUUGGCCUUGAUAAAUAAUCAUUUGAAAGAGACCAGUUUUCUUCUCAAGAGAUUUAAAAGCUAACAAAGAUGAAUAAGAGUUCCUAUCAUGAAAUGAAGAUGAAUUUUGAUAAACGCUUCUUCUGCACCUGUUGAAUUAUCAUACAAUUUUUUCUCCUUAAAUGAAUAUGUAAAUAACAUUGUUUGAUUUUAAUGUUAAACCAAAAAUGUAUUAUUCUUUUUCUGUAUUGCUGUAUUUGAUAUGUUUAUAAUUUGUUGAGAAUUGUGUAUAUGUUUAUAAGAAAUAUUAAUUUGUAAUUUUUCUUUUGUUGUAAUGUCUUUAGUUCUUUUGGUAUCAGAGUUAUACAAA
RNAcentral lists this long non-coding RNA (514 nucleotides) under Homo sapiens (human). RNAcentral describes it as "HSALNT0018847". Lineage: Eukaryota; Metazoa; Chordata; Mammalia; Primates; Hominidae. The record is from RNAcentral.